UGGGACAGUCCUUUGCCUUUUACUGAUUCA
Molecule: non-coding RNA, 30 nt
Filed under: Mus musculus (house mouse)
Lineage: Eukaryota; Metazoa; Chordata; Mammalia; Rodentia; Muridae
Source: RNAcentral